This 664-nucleotide ribosomal RNA is filed under the name uncultured fungus. RNAcentral describes it as "eukaryotic LSU rRNA". It matches the Rfam family "Eukaryotic large subunit ribosomal RNA", at positions 24 to 664 of the family's 3401-position model. The record is from RNAcentral. Lineage: Eukaryota; Fungi.
CCCGCUGAACUUAAGCAUAUCAAUAAGCGGAGGAAAAGAAACUAACAAGGAUUCCCCUAGUAACUGCGAGUGAAGCGGGAAAAGCUCAAAUUUAAAAUCUGGUGGCCUUUGGCCAUCCGAGUUGUAAUUUAGAGAAGCGUCUUCCGCGCUGGACCGUGCACAAGUCUCCUGGAAUGGAGCGUCGUAGAGGGUGAGAAUCCCGUCUUUGGCACGGACGCCCAGUGCUUCUGUGAUGCGCUCUCGAAGAGUCGAGUUGUUUGGGAAUGCAGCUCAAAAUGGGUGGUGAACUCCAUCUAAAGCUAAAUAUUGGCGAGAGACCGAUAGCGAACAAGUACCGUGAGGGAAAGAUGAAAAGCACUUUGGAAAGAGAGUGAAACAGUACGUGAAAUUGUUGAAAGGGAAACGCUUGAAGUCAGUCGCGUCGUCCGAGACUCAGCCUCGCCUCGGCUUGAUGUACUUCUCGGACGACGGGUCAGCAUCAAUUUUGCCCCUUGGAUAAUGGCGAGGGAAAUGUGACACCUUUGCGGGUGUGUUAUAGUCUCUAGUCGCAUGCAAGGGUCGGGAUUGAGGAACUCAGCACGCGCCUUCGGGCGUCGGGGUUCGCCCACGAUACGUGCUUAGGAUGUUGGCGUAAUGGCUUUAAACGACCCGUCUUGAAACACGG